This 775-nucleotide ribosomal RNA is filed under the name uncultured Neocallimastigales. RNAcentral's name for it is "partial large subunit ribosomal RNA". It matches the Rfam family "Eukaryotic large subunit ribosomal RNA", at positions 20 to 649 of the family's 3401-position model. The record is from RNAcentral. Lineage: Eukaryota; Fungi; Neocallimastigomycota; Neocallimastigomycetes; Neocallimastigales.
UACUAGAGUAGCACUCGCAUAUCAAUAAGCGGAGGAAAAGAAACUAACAAGGAUUCCCCUAGGUAACGGCGAGUGAAGCGGGAAGAGCUCAAAUUUGAAAUCUUAAAGGGUUUCCCUUUACGAAUUGUAGUUUAAAGAAGUGUUUUCUGUUGAGGUUUUGGUAAAAGUUCUUUGGAAUAGGACAUCAUAGAGGGUGAGAAUCCCGUAUUUGACCUUUACUUUCAACUUUGUGAUACACUUUCAAAGAGUCGGAUUGUUUGGGAAUGCAGUCCAAAAUGGGUGGUAAAUUUCAUCUAAAGCUAAAUAUUGGCGAGAGACCGAUAGCGAACAAGUACCGUGAGGGAAAGAUGAAAAGAACUUUGAAAAGAGAGUUAAACAGUACGUGAAAUUGUCAAAAGGGAAGCGUUUGACACCAGUGUUGUUUUUCUGAAAAUCAAUUAAAGAACUGUUUAUGCUAAGUUGUUUAGACUUUAUCAGCUAACUGUUUAGUUUUGAGCUUUUCUUUAAUGCACUUUUCAGUUAACAAGUCAACAUCAAUUUCUUUUGCUGUAAAAAAGCUUGAGGAAGGUGGCUUGAGAUUCGUCUUAAGUGUUUAUAGCCUCUUGCCUAUGCAGUCGGAGAGAUUGAGGUCCUGCAGCGUAGAUCCUUCGGGGCUAAAUGCAUUUGUGCUAAGUUAUAGCAUUUAUAGACAACUUGUUGACUAUGAUUUGUCUUGUAGCUUACUCGCUUAUGUUAUUUUACCUACGCUUAGGAUGUUGAGUAGCGACAUACGCAC